Molecule: ribosomal RNA, 462 nt
Filed under: uncultured bacterium
Lineage: Bacteria
Description: partial 16S ribosomal RNA
Rfam family: Bacterial small subunit ribosomal RNA
Source: RNAcentral
GACGAACGCUGGCGGCGUGCUUAACACAUGCAAGUCGAACGGAAAGGCCCUUCGGGGUCCUCGAGUGGCGAACGGGUGAGUAACACGUGGGUGAUCUGCCCUGCACUUUGGGAUAAGCCUGGGAAACUGGGUCUAAUACCGAAUAGGACCACGCGCUUCAUGGUGUGUGGUGGAAAGCUUUUGCGGUGUGGGAUGGGCCCGCGGCCUAUCAGCUUGUUGGUGGGGUAAUGGCCUACCAAGGCGACGACGGGUAGCCGGCCUGAGAGGGUAACCGGCCACACUGGGACUGAGAUACGGCCCAGACUCCUACGGGAGGCAGCAGUGGGGAAUAUUGCACAAUGGGCGCAAGCCUGAUGCAGCGACGCCGCGUGAGGGAUGACGGCCUUCGGGUUGUAAACCUCUUUCAAUAGGGACGAAGCGCAAGUGACGGUACCUAUAGAAGAAGCACCGGCCAACUACGUG